This 253-nucleotide ribosomal RNA is filed under the name uncultured bacterium. RNAcentral's name for it is "partial 16S ribosomal RNA". It matches the Rfam family "Bacterial small subunit ribosomal RNA", at positions 524 to 776 of the family's 1533-position model. The record is from RNAcentral.
UACGGAGGGUGCAAGCGUUGUCCGGAUUUAUUGGGUUUAAAGGGUGCGUAGGCGGCUUGAUAAGUCCGUGGUGAAAGCCAACAGCUCAACUGUUGAACUGCCAUGGAUACUGUCAGGCUUGAGUACAGACGAGGUAGGCGGAAUGGAUCGUGUAGCGGUGAAAUGCAUAGAUACGAUCCAGAACUCCGAUUGCGAAGGCAGCUUACUAGGCUGUAACUGACGCUGAGGCACGAAAGCGUGGGGAUCAAACAGG